This 453-nucleotide ribosomal RNA is filed under the name uncultured bacterium. RNAcentral describes it as "bacterial SSU rRNA". It matches the Rfam family "Bacterial small subunit ribosomal RNA", at positions 15 to 507 of the family's 1533-position model. The record is from RNAcentral.
GAUCCUGGCUCAGGAUGAACGCUGGCGGUAUGCCUAACACAUGCAAGUCGUACGAGAGUUUUUAACUCUAGUGGCGGACGGGUGAGUAACACGUGAGAAUUUGCCUUUAGGAGGGGGAUAACAAUUGGAAACGAAUGCUAAUACCCCAUAUGCUUUUGAGUGAAACGGAUUUAUCCGCCUAGAGAGAAGCUCGCGGCUGAUUAGCUUGUUGGUAAGGUAAGAGCUUACCAAGGCGACGAUCAGUAUCUGGUUUGAGAGGACGAUCAGACACACUGGAACUGAGACACGGUCCAGACUCCUACGGGAGGCAGCAGUGGGGAAUUUUCCGCAAUGGGCGAAAGCCUGACGGAGCAAUACCGCGUGAGGGAAGAAUGCCUAUGGGUUGUAAACCUCUUUUUUCAGGGAGGAAUAAAAUGACGUGUACCUGAAGAAUAAGCAUCGGCUAACUCCGUG